This 492-nucleotide ribosomal RNA is filed under the name uncultured bacterium. RNAcentral's name for it is "partial 16S ribosomal RNA". It matches the Rfam family "Bacterial small subunit ribosomal RNA", at positions 29 to 507 of the family's 1533-position model. The record is from RNAcentral.
AGUGAACGCUGGCGGUAGGCCUAACACAUGCAAGUCGAACGGCAGCACAGUAAGAGCUUGCUCUUACGGGUGGCGAGUGGCGGACGGGUGAUGAAUACAUCGGAAUCUACUUUUUCGUGGGGGAUAACGUAGGGAAACUUACGCUAAUACCGCAUACGACCUACGGGUGAAAGCAGGGGAUCUUCGUACCUUGCGCGAUUGAAUGAGCCGAUGUCGGAUUAGCUAGUUGGCGGGGUAAAGGCCCACCAAGGCGACGAUCCGUAGCUGGUCUGAGAGGAUGAUCAGCCACACUGGAACUGAGACACGGUCCAGACUCCUACGGGAGGCAGCAGUGGGGAAUAUUGGACAAUGGGCGCAAGCCUGAUCCAGCCAUACCGCGUGGGUGAAGAAGGCCUUCGGGUUGUAAAGCCCUUUUGUUGGGAAAGAAAAGCAGCAGGUUAAUACCCCGCUGUUCUGACGGUACCCAAAGAAUAAGCACCGGCUAACUUCGUG